AAAAAGGAGAAGAAGAAGAAGAAGAAGAAGGAAGGAAAAAGGAAGAAGAAAAGAAAAGGAAAAGAAAAGAAAGAAAAGAAAGGAAAAAGAAAAGAACGAAAAAAAAAGAAGCGCGACGACCAAAUCUGCUUUUAGUACAUCGCAUGCGGCGAUGCACAUUGAUCCCAGCAUUAGGGCGUGGUAUUUUCGGUGACACAUGUGUGAUAAUGCAUGGCGACGCCGACGACCUGGA
Molecule: long non-coding RNA, 232 nt
Filed under: Carica papaya (papaya)
Lineage: Eukaryota; Viridiplantae; Streptophyta; Magnoliopsida; Brassicales; Caricaceae
Description: long non-coding RNA (CPAP_LNC004692)
Source: RNAcentral